This 484-nucleotide ribosomal RNA is filed under the name uncultured bacterium. RNAcentral describes it as "partial 16S ribosomal RNA". It matches the Rfam family "Bacterial small subunit ribosomal RNA", at positions 30 to 507 of the family's 1533-position model. The record is from RNAcentral.
AUUGAACGCUGGCGGCAGGCCUAACACAUGCAAGUCGAGCGGAUGAAGGGAGCUUGCUCCUGGAUUCAGCGGCGGACGGGUGAGUAAUGCCUAGGAAUCUGCCUGGUAGUGGGGGAUAACGUCCGGAAACGGGCGCUAAUACCGCAUACGUCCUGAGGGAGAAAGUGGGGGAUCUUCGGACCUCACGCUAUCAGAUGAGCCUAGGUCGGAUUAGCUAGUUGGUGGGGUAAAGGCCUACCAAGGCGACGAUCCGUAACUGGUCUGAGAGGAUGAUCAGUCACACUGGAACUGAGACACGGUCCAGGCUCCUACGGGAGGCAGCAGUGGGGAAUAUUGGACGAUGGGCGAAAGCCUGUUCCAGCCAUGCCGCGUGUGUGAAGAAGGUCUUCGGAUUGUAAAGCACUUUAAGUUGGGAGGAAGGGCAGUAAGUUAAUACCUUGCUGUUUUGACGUUCCCAACAGAAUAAGCACCGGCUAACUUCGUG